Molecule: transfer RNA, 72 nt
Filed under: Ovis aries (sheep)
Lineage: Eukaryota; Metazoa; Chordata; Mammalia; Artiodactyla; Bovidae
Rfam family: tRNA
About the family: Transfer RNA (tRNA) molecules are approximately 80 nucleotides in length. Their secondary structure includes four short double-helical elements and three loops (D, anti-codon, and T loops).
Source: Rfam by way of RNAcentral
UUCUUGGUGGCUCAGUGGUAAAGAACCUACCUGCCAAAGCAGGAGAUGCAGGUUUGAUCCCUGCUCAGGAAG